UACGUAGGCAGCGAGCGUUGUUCGGAGUUACUGGGCGUAAAGCGUGCGUAGGCGGUGGUCCAAGUCUGGUGUGAAAUCUCCCGGCUCAACUGGGAGGGUGCGCCGGAAACUGGGCCGCUGGAGUAUGGGAGAGGCAAGCGGAAUUCCAGGUGUAGCGGUGAAAUGCGUAGAUAUCAGGAGGAACACCAAUUGCGAAGGCAGCUCGCUGGGACGUUACUGACGCUGAGACGCGAAAGCGUGGGGAGCAAACAGG
RNAcentral lists this ribosomal RNA (253 nucleotides) under uncultured bacterium. Its description in RNAcentral is "partial 16S ribosomal RNA". It matches the Rfam family "Bacterial small subunit ribosomal RNA", at positions 524 to 776 of the family's 1533-position model. The record is from RNAcentral.